RNAcentral lists this ribosomal RNA (235 nucleotides) under uncultured bacterium. RNAcentral describes it as "partial 16S ribosomal RNA". It matches the Rfam family "Bacterial small subunit ribosomal RNA", at positions 99 to 334 of the family's 1533-position model. The record is from RNAcentral.
CGCACGGGUGCGUAACACGUAACUAACCUACCUAUAACUGGGGGAUAGCCCGCCGAAAGGCGGAUUAAUACCGCAUAAGCUCUUGAGCUGGCAUCAGCUGAUUAGUAAAGAUUUAUUGGUUAUAGAUGGGGUUGCGGGUCAUUAGCUAGUUGGUUGGGUAACGGCUGACCAAGGCGACGAUGACUAGGGGAGCUGAGAGGCUGGUCCCCCACACGGGCACUGAGAUACGGGCCCG